RNAcentral lists this transfer RNA (61 nucleotides) under Teredothyra matocotana. RNAcentral describes it as "tRNA-Glu". Lineage: Eukaryota; Metazoa; Mollusca; Bivalvia; Myida; Teredinidae. The record is from RNAcentral.
UUUUUUAUAGUGUAAAUAGCACGUUGGUUUUUCGUACCAGAGGUGGAAUUUUGUUCCUGGU